Molecule: long non-coding RNA, 2373 nt
Filed under: Meleagris gallopavo (turkey)
Lineage: Eukaryota; Metazoa; Chordata; Aves; Galliformes; Phasianidae
Description: lncRNA (ENSMGAG00000020548.1)
Source: RNAcentral
CCCAUGCUCUGGAUUACAGGUUAAAGUUGUCUUGAUUUGAAAAUAAAUAACUUCUCACUUCUGUAUCAAUUGCAAGCCCCCAGGUACCAAUCUGGGCUCCAAGGACACGAUUAUCUGCAGCCAAAAACCACCAGUGUCAGCUCACUUGUUCUGGGGACGGAUUUGAUCCCAUUACUUUUGCUGGGACUGCUGUCUGCUGAUCAAUGCCAAACAUCAACAGGUUUGCCAUGAGGAAUCACUGCCCAACUCAUCCCAGGAUAGAGUUAGUGGGAGAGACUGGGACUGCAAUUGCAUUGCUCUCAUCAUUUGGAGGUUGCAGGACAACGCUGCUAGCUGCAUUGCUAAUACAUCUUGCAAGACCUGCUAUGUGGGAACUGCUGAAUCACGGCCUGAACCUCUGAUUGACCACCUGAGGAGAGCAACCAGUCAGCCCUGGAAGCACAGGUGAAGGCAAUUCAUCUGUGCUACCAGGUAGAAGACUGGCUCCACCUCUCCUAGACCCAUUUAAGAGCUGACUACACUGGGGAAGGAUCUGUUUUGGAGAUCACUCUUCUUGGAGUCUUCUCAGUGAGCCCAGGACAGGGGUAAGCUUUCUAUCCAUUCUUCUUUGCUGUGAUAACCUGUACACCCUAACUUUCUUGUAUAUUUCUUAAUUAUAACAUCUGUAUGUUCACUGAUUAUACACCUGCUCACAGGGCACAGUUUCUCAGGGAACUUGGAGCAUGUUUGCUGGUAUGUGGGCGUUGACAAGAGCCAAGAGAACACCAGUAACAUCUCUUGCAUACUGGGGAGUUGAUCUCAUUCAGUUAUUUUACUCUUUUAUCCUCUCUGGUAAUUCCAAAAACUUCCUGAGAUGCUGAUACUCAGGUGAAAGGAGAGGUCAGCCCUCACCCAAUUGAAUUGCCCUUAACUUGGAUGUUGCAUUUUUCUUCUUUAUUUCUUUUUAUUAUUUUCCUCCAUUGAGCAGCUCUGUUCCAUGCUCAACAGCAGAUAUUCUGAACUCAUGCAUCUCCAAGGAGCUCUGAGCAUCCUGCCCAGCCCCAUGCUAGAGACAUGAGACAUCCUAACCCUUCUAUUCAAGCAAAAGCAGCACCUCAGGUGUGAGAACUGGCUGCUGCAACUCCUCUUUAAGGCACUACUUCUCUCCUUGAUUUUCACUGCAUGCCACUGCUCGCAAUUCAUCAUUAUUUACCAAGACUGGAGCCUCUGGUGAUGACACCAAUGGGAGUUUUUCACCAACUUCCCAGGGCAACUGGUUGUCCAUUAAGGGAUCUGUGAACAACUCAGCCCUGGAGUCAGGCCAACUUUCUCUUCUAAUUUCUCCUCCUAUUCUUCACCCUCACUGCCUGUUUUCCCUUUGGGAGACCUGUUAUGGUUUAUUGUUUCUCUUCCUUUUUUAUUUUUUUCCCCUUUGUUUUUUUUACUGUAUAUAGCAGAGUUUGAUCUGGCAACCAGCCAGGGGACCUGCAAUUGCUUUGUCCUUUGGUGUGCUGGGUUAUUUUGACUUCAGGUUUUUCUAUUGAGAAACUGAUUAAGACCAAAAAAAGAAAAGCCACAUCUUUAAGUGGAAGUGAACCUUUAGGUUAUCUUGGAGGCAAUCUCCUUAGUUCUUUUCUUUCUAGCUCUUCACCUUGACUUUUUUUUCAGUUGUUAGCUCUUUCAUUUCCUUCACAGGUACUUGAGGCGUUUAAAGGAUGCUUCUCCCUUUCCCAGGCAGAUGCCACUUUCAACUCACCAAAUUGUACCCCUAAAAGCAGAGGAAGAACUACAAAGGUUAUAGCACUGUAGUCAUGCUGGCUUGCUGAUAAAGGGAGGAGGUACUGCCUAGAAAAUACCAGCAAAUGGGACUUUCCUCCUAAAGUUUAGCAAGGAACUGGGAGCAGAUGACUUGGAUGUGGACCAGCCCUCAUGGGAGUCAGCAUGGGGAGGUGGGUGAAUAAAGGGGACUUCUCAAACCCCGGGUCUCUCAUCACCUGUUGGUAAUGGAGCCUUCAAAUCCACUAACACCUCAUGGGGAAAGUGAUAGAGCAGCAUGGAGUUGUUCCAUUCUUGAGGUGUGUUAGGAUAACUUCUCAUUUCCAAUGAUUUGGGAAAAGCUACUGGAGAAGCUGCUGCUCCGGCUUUGAUUUGGGCUAAUAGAGAAGAACUGCUUGGGAAAAGAGGAAAAAAAGUAGGGACGUAAUUUCAGGAAAUAAAUCACAAAGCAAUGGAGUGCACAGUGCCAAGAGAAAGGGAGUGAGAACAGCAGAAUGAGGAUAAUGGUCUGCCAAAAAAAAUCUCCGGGAACUGGUAGGUGACAUCUCUAGGGAAGAUAAUCUGAGGGAUGAAGAGAGCAGGGAAGCUGGCAAUAACCUAAAACGACUGUAUUAGGGG